AAAGGAAUAGACGGGGGCCCGCACAAGCAGCGGAGCGUGUGGUUUAAUUCGAUGAUACGCGAAGAACCUCACCCAGGUUUGACAUGCAUGUGGUACUGAUGUGAAAGCUGAGGGACCCUUCGGGGAGCAUGCACAGGUGUUGCACGGCCGUCGUCAGCUCGUGCCGUGAGGUGUUGGGUUAAGUCCCGCAACGAGCGCAACCCCUGUCGCCAGUUGUAUUUUUCUGGCGAGACUGCCGAGAAAACCUCGGAGGAAGGAGGGGACGAUGUCAGGUCAGCGUGGCCCUUACGCCUGGGGCUACACACACGCUACAAUGGGCAGUACAACGGGUCGCGAAGCCGCGAGGUGGAGCCAAUCCCAUCAAAGCUGUCCUCAGUUCGGAUUGCAGGCUGAAACCCGCCUGCAUGAAGCCGGAGUUGCUAGUAACCGCAGGUCAGCAUUACUGCGGUGAAUACGUUCCCGGGCCUUGUACACACCGCCCGU
RNAcentral lists this ribosomal RNA (483 nucleotides) under uncultured bacterium. RNAcentral describes it as "bacterial SSU rRNA". It matches the Rfam family "Bacterial small subunit ribosomal RNA", at positions 903 to 1397 of the family's 1533-position model. The record is from RNAcentral.